GUCUGGAUGGCCGAGUGGUCUAAGGCACCAUACUCAAGAUGUGGAGGCGUGGGUUCAAAUCCCACUUCUGACA
This is a non-coding RNA of Spea bombifrons (plains spadefoot toad), 73 nucleotides long. The record is from the annotation of a RefSeq genome assembly. NCBI's taxonomy places the organism in Eukaryota, Metazoa, Chordata, Amphibia, Anura, Pelobatidae.